Bombus terrestris (buff-tailed bumblebee) is the source of this 3133-nucleotide long non-coding RNA. RefSeq lists it as uncharacterized. The record is from RefSeq and is a predicted model, not a curated record. Lineage: Eukaryota; Metazoa; Arthropoda; Insecta; Hymenoptera; Apidae. The transcript is spliced from 2 exons.
GCUCACGUAGAUCGCCUGCCGUUUAUAAUACGUUGUAUCGUCAAUUCUGCCAUACGUACGCAUACACAGGACGGAUCGUCGACGUACGUACGGUGUGCUGAGUGAAACGUCGCCAUCGGACCUGUUCUCAAUAACCGGUCACAUUCACCCUUUCGCUACUUAUUACUUGCCACUGAGAAAGCAAUUUCAUAAAAGAGAAAAGUGAUUGUAAAUUAUUCAGAGAAUAUAAAACAUUGUAUUGUUUAGUGUCGUAGCUGAUUUCAAAAUACUACAGAAUGACAAAUAUAACUAAAACGGAAUAACGAAGAACAGCAGAUAUUUAAGAUGUUUAAUUUAAGAAGAACACAAAGAAAACGAAAAGGUACAUGAGCAAAGUUCGUUCAUAGCGAAAGGCUGGAAAAUCUAGGAAAUACGAGACUAGAUAAAGUUUGAGAAAUUGUCCAGGGACGAAGGCGAUGAUUCCUCAGCGCGGAUCCAGUCAACGAUGUUUCGUUGCACUGUGUUUUUGUGUAGUGGGUGUGAGUUGGUCGGUGGAAUCGAUGGAAGAGCCUCUUGUGUUGGUAGACCACCGUCCGCCCUCCCCUCUUUUUUCAGUAGUGUAUAGCUGUCUGACAUGAUUGUGUGCUGCGUGUUUUUCCCCCAUACUGUAUCAUUUUCAUACUUGUUCAUAUGAUAUAAUAUCGCGACUGUUAGCACCAAAGAAAAAACAUAAUAGAAAAAGAAAAAAAGCAUUCUUUUUUCAUGGCGGCCGUGUGGAACUUGUUUUUAACUAAACACGACCAUCCCUCUUUUGGUAUCGUACGUACACUCGCACGAGGACUAUAGAACUGCCUCGACGAGAGAGGCGAUCUUGUCCAGCUUUUUUUAAAAAGCUCUGCCUGGUCGAGCGGAGAUUCUUCCUCCUUGCUGCUUGCGUUUUCUGUUUGUGUUUGUCUCCCCCUCCCCCUCCCCGCAUUGUGUCACUGGCGAAGGAUCUCAGAUCCAGCACCCCGUGAAAAGUCUUCCUUUAGAACGCGUUUACAAGCGUGUAAUACCGUGAUAACCAAUUUUUGUCUUUUUGUUUUUACAGAUUAACCGUAGGAAGAAAUUUCACGGCGUGUUAUUGUCUGAAAACCUCCUACAGUCUCUUCAAUCUCCUAUCAAAAUAUGGUUUCUCCAACCUCUCUCGUGAACGAAUGUGUUUCUCAGCUUUUCUCAGUCUCAUAUGAUUCCUUGCCUUUUCCUAUGCCACCUGCUGCUCGUGGCUGGGUUAUUGUAUCUAAAAUUGCAGGUGGACUUACUUCCCUUUGUUGCUUCACUCUUUACUGAGGAUCUGUACUGUAUGUGUUAGCCUACAGUUGCUGGUGAAAGUGAACGCUUCUUGCAUAAUACUUUUUUCUUUUUUGAGAGUUUGUUUUUUUCCUAUUUUAAAUCGAUAAACUUGGAGACUAGUGGAUAUUAUGUUGAAACAUAAAUCAACAGUAGGAUUUAGAUCCUGCUUAAAUAGUAGGUAGAAGAUUCAAAGCAAGAGUGAAGUAAAAGUAAAGUGAAAGAAAAAUUAUCAUUUGAUUUAUGGAUUACUUGAUUUAUGGCUUUGGAGUCAAGUACACUUGAAUCCUAAAAGAAAGUUCAUGGCAUGUUCACUUCUCUGCAGCUUCAAGGAGACACUGUGUACUUGAAUCAUCAGUUUCUAAGCUGCAAAAGGAAAUAACUUAUCUGAAAGCAAUGAUAACCCUACACAGAUGUGGCAUAUGGCAUUCCUCUGUAUAAAUCCGUUUAAUUUGUUUCUUUGACGCGGUAUGCGAGUGUGCGUGUGCACGAUUGCUCACGUUUGCAUCGAUUUUGUGUUUGCCCAAUCUCUAACACGGUGUUGCGCGCAAGUGGCGUAGAAAGGUUGAGUUUGUUUGGCAAUGGUUUGUGCGUUCUAAACCAGAUAAAAAAAAAAAAAGGGUUUCGUCAAAACAGAAGCUUCUAGUGGCUACAAUUACUAUAAUUAUGAUGUAUUGUAACUGCUAUUAUAAUUGCCGGCAUGUAAAUCGUCCUGAUAUCUCCACGUUCUCAAACGAACGUAUCUCAAAUUCAUCAAACUGGAUUGUGCAUCUUUGACUCUAAUUUUCUAGUGACUAAAUGACUCAAUACCGCACGGUGCGCCCUAUAGUGAACUUGGAAUUCACCAAGGCAAUCUAUUUUGGGAUUCGAUUGCCAGCAGAAUUUGUCUAUUUAAGCAAUAGAAUGGUGCACUAAGGCAUUAUCCCGUUUAUGGUUGACUUCCAAAGUCAGGAAAUAUGCAACUAUUAUCAGAGUUCAAAUACUGAACAUAAAUAGAUUCAUUUUCAGAGCUAUUUUGGGUACAUGUUGAGACUAAAGAAUCAUAAGUCUCGAACAGUCCAGAUUUCUAAUUAAUCUGCUGAUUAUAAAGAUUGUACUGAUAGAGUCAUUAGACUCAAAGGGAUGUAAGAACAUAGAAUAAGCUUAUGGAUUAUUGCUUGUUAUUUAAAACAAGCAAACAACUUUAUAUAUUAAUUCAUAAAGUAAACAAUUUGUAUUUGGUAUCCAGAAGAGAGAGAAACUUGAAUCUGCACAAAAAGAUUCCUUAAAGGAAUCGGUUAAUCGUCAUAAAUGUGGAAUGCAAAGUUAUUUGAGUAGCAUGAUCACAAGAAAUUAGCAUAAAGUCACGACAGUUCACCAGAAUGCUCUCUAAUUUAUAGAACUUUCCUUUCAAUUCUAUCUUCUUCUCUUUCUCUUCCUCUUUCUCUUCAGAAUGUAUACACACUCUUUGCUACACUGUUGUACACUGUGUCUCUUUGUCGCUAUUUUUAUCUUAAUUUUCAAUUCCCUACGCUUGACUCUCUCCUCACGGUCGCGGUUCAAGCGUGUGCUUCAUCAAAACUAGCCUCCAUUGUCCAGCUCUUGGUUCAAGAUUUAUCAUUUCCAAUUGACCACUAGGAAGACGUUUUUAAUAUUUCCAAGACACCAAAUUCCUCAUUCGAAUAAGGAAUUUCAUGCUGUCCCAAAUUGUUUCAGCAACCUGACAUCUUUAUUUUCAUCCUUGAGAAUUUUGAUCCUAUUACUUUGGUUCAGGAUACGUUUAAACCAACGAUCAUUCUGUGAGUAUCAUCCUAAUUUUUGUAUACCAUUGUAACUGGACUUUGGC